UGGUUCUGGCAUCGAUGAAGAACGCAGCGAAAUGCGAUAAGUAAUGUGAAUUGCAGAAUUCAGUGAAUCAUCGAAUCUUUGAACGCAUAUUGCGCCCUUUGGUAUUCCGAAGGGCAUGCCUGUUCGAGCGUCAUUUAACCCCUCAAACUUUUGUUUGAUGUUGGGCCUUGCCAUGGAAAGCAAGCCUAAAAGAUAGUGCUGGUACCUAUUCAACCACAAGCGCACAGAUGUCGUGAUGAUGGAAGAUGGGUUUUGGCUUCAUCAAAUUUCUAAAUGUUGACCUCGGAUCAGGUAGGGAUACCCGCUGA
This 308-nucleotide unclassified non-coding RNA is filed under the name uncultured fungus. RNAcentral describes it as "partial contains 5.8S ribosomal RNA and internal transcribed spacer 2". The stretch from base 1 to 133 matches the Rfam family "5.8S ribosomal RNA", at positions 22 to 154 of the family's 154-position model. The record is from RNAcentral. Lineage: Eukaryota; Fungi.